GAUGAACGCUGGCGGCGUGCCUAAUACAUGCAAGUCGAGCGAACAGAUAAGGAGCUUGCUCCUUUGACGUUAGCGGCGGACGGGUGAGUAACACGUGGGUAACCUACCUAUAAGACUGGGAUAACUUCGGGAAACCGGAGCUAAUACCGGAUAACAUUUGGAACCGCAUAGUUCUAAAGUGAAAGAUGGUUUUGCUAUCACUUAUAGAUGGACCCGCGCCGUAUUAGCUAGUUGGUAAGGUAACGGCUUACCAAGGCAACGAUACGUAGCCGACCUGAGAGGGUGAUCGGCCACACUGGAACUGAGACACGGUCCAGACUCCUACGGGAGGCAGCAGUAGGGAAUCUUCCGCAAUGGGCGAAAGCCUGACGGAGCAACGCCGCGUGAGUGAUGAAGGGUUUCGGCUCGUAAAACUCUGUUAUUAGGGAAGAACAAACGUGUAAGUAACUGUGCACGUCUUGACGGUACCUAAUCAGAAAGCCACGGCUAACUACGUG
Molecule: ribosomal RNA, 497 nt
Filed under: uncultured bacterium
Lineage: Bacteria
Description: partial 16S ribosomal RNA
Rfam family: Bacterial small subunit ribosomal RNA
Source: RNAcentral